GCCAGCGUAGCUCAGUUGGUAGAGCAAUGCUUUCGUAAAGCAGAGGUCGUGGGUUCGACUCCCACCGCUGGCU
Molecule: transfer RNA, 73 nt
Filed under: bacterium
Lineage: Bacteria
Description: tRNA-Thr
Rfam family: tRNA
About the family: Transfer RNA (tRNA) molecules are approximately 80 nucleotides in length.
Source: RNAcentral